RNAcentral lists this unclassified non-coding RNA (25 nucleotides) under Mus musculus (house mouse). Its description in RNAcentral is "oocyte_clustered_small_RNA13642". The record is from RNAcentral. Lineage: Eukaryota; Metazoa; Chordata; Mammalia; Rodentia; Muridae.
UGUCCCCUUUGGUUCGCCUUACCUA